Molecule: transfer RNA, 77 nt
Filed under: Pseudonocardia sp. HH130630-07
Lineage: Bacteria; Bacillati; Actinomycetota; Actinomycetes; Pseudonocardiales; Pseudonocardiaceae
Description: tRNA-Leu
Rfam family: tRNA
About the family: Transfer RNA (tRNA) molecules are approximately 80 nucleotides in length. Their secondary structure includes four short double-helical elements and three loops (D, anti-codon, and T loops).
Source: RNAcentral
GCCCCCGUAGCCCAAAGGCAGAGGCAAACCCCUUAAAAGGGUUACCGGUGUGGGUUCGAAUCCCACCGGGGGCACCC